GGACGGGUGAGUAACACGUGGGUAACCUGCCUGUAAGACUGGGAUAACUCCGGGAAACCGGGGCUAAUACCGGAUGCUUGUUUGAACCGCAUGGUUCAAACAUAAAAGGUGGCUUCGGCUACCACUUACAGAUGGACCCGCGGCGCAUUAGCUAGUUGGUGAGGUAAUGGCUCACCAAGGCAACGAUGCGUAGCCGACCUGAGAGGGUGAUCGGCCACACUGGGACUGAGACACGGCCCAGACUCCUACGGGAGGCAGCAGUAGGGAAUCUUCCGCAAUGGACGAAAGUCUGACGGAGCAACGCCGCGUGAGUGAUGAAGGUUUUCGGAUCGUAAAGCUCUGUUGUUAGGGAAGAACAAGUGCCGUUCAAAUAGGGCGGCACCUUGACGGUACCUAACCAGAAAGCCACGGCUAACUACGUGCCAGCAGCCGCGGUAAUACGUAGGUGGCAAGCGUUGUCCGGAAUUAUUGGGCGUAAAGGGCUCGCAGGCGGUUUCUUAAGUCUGAUGUGAAAGCCCCCGGCUCAACCGGGGAGGGUCAUUGGAAACUGGGGAACUUGAGUGCAGAAGAGGAGAGUGGAAUUCCACGUGUAGCGGUGAAAUGCGUAGAGAUGUGGAGGAACACCAGUGGCGAAGGCGACUCUCUGGUCUGUAACUGACGCUGAGGAGCGAAAGCGUGGGGAGCGAACAGGAUUAGAUACCCUGGUAGUCCACGCCGUAAACGAUGAGUGCUAAGUGUUAGGGGGUUUCCGCCCCUUAGUGCUGCAGCUAACGCAUUA
This 778-nucleotide ribosomal RNA is filed under the name Bacillus sp. (in: firmicutes). Its description in RNAcentral is "bacterial SSU rRNA". It matches the Rfam family "Bacterial small subunit ribosomal RNA", at positions 100 to 862 of the family's 1533-position model. The record is from RNAcentral. Lineage: Bacteria; Bacillati; Bacillota; Bacilli; Caryophanales; Bacillaceae.